UGAAUUAGCGGCGAACGGGUGAGGAACACGUGAGGAAUCUGCCUUCAACUCUGGGAUAACUCCGGGAAACCGGGGCUAAUACCGGAUAUGAGCCUUGAUCGCAUGAUCGGGGCUGGAAAGUUUUUCGGUUGAAGAUGACCUCGCGGCCUAUCAGCUUGUUGGUGAGGUAAUGGCUCACCAAGGCGACGACAGGUAGCCGGCCUGAGAGGGCGACCGGCCACACUGGGACUGAGACACGGCCCAGACUCCUACGGGAGGCAGCAGUGGGGAAUAUUGGGCAAUGGAGGAAACUCUGACCCAGCCACCCCGCGUGCGGGAUGAAGGCCUUCGGGUUGUAAACCGCUUUCAGUAGGGAAGAAGCGAAAGUGACGGUACCUACAAAAGAAGCACCGGCUAACUAUGUGCCAGC
RNAcentral lists this ribosomal RNA (409 nucleotides) under uncultured bacterium. Its description in RNAcentral is "bacterial SSU rRNA". It matches the Rfam family "Bacterial small subunit ribosomal RNA", at positions 88 to 512 of the family's 1533-position model. The record is from RNAcentral.